This 409-nucleotide ribosomal RNA is filed under the name uncultured bacterium. RNAcentral's name for it is "bacterial SSU rRNA". It matches the Rfam family "Bacterial small subunit ribosomal RNA", at positions 954 to 1364 of the family's 1533-position model. The record is from RNAcentral.
GCAUAACGCGAAGAACCUUACCUGGACUUGACAUCCCUUUGACCGUCUUUUAACCGAGACUUUCCCUUCGGGGACAGAGGAGACAGGUGGUGCAUGGUUGUCGUCAGCUCGUGUCGUGAGAUGUUGGGUUAAGUCCCGCAACGAGCGCAACCCUUGUCUUUAGUUGCCAUCAUUAAGUUGGGCACUCUAGAGAGACUGCCGGGGAUAACUCGGAGGAAGGUGGGAUGACGUCAAAUCAUCAUGCCCCUUAUGUUCAGGGCUACACACGUGCUACAAUGGCCGAUACAACGGGCAGCGAAAGAGUAAUCUGGAGCAAAUCCUACAAAAUCGGUCCCAGUUCGGAUUGUGGGCUGAAACUCGCCCACAUGAAUUGGGAUUGCUAGUAAUCGCGGAUCAGAAUGUCGCGGUG